RNAcentral lists this ribosomal RNA (325 nucleotides) under Thaumatomonas sp. RNAcentral describes it as "SSU rRNA". The stretch from base 107 to 325 matches the Rfam family "Eukaryotic small subunit ribosomal RNA", at positions 735 to 955 of the family's 1831-position model. The record is from RNAcentral. Lineage: Eukaryota; Cercozoa; Imbricatea; Thaumatomonadida; Thaumatomastigidae.
GAUUUCUGGUUCGAUGCGUUUGGCCCUCUCGGAGCAAUCCGGCGUGCGUGCCGAUGCGCGUCUGCCAUCCCUUGUAGAGAACGUUUCUACCCUUCACUGGGCCGGAUUCGCAAUCUACAUCUUUUACUUUGAAAAAAUUAGAGUGUUUCAAGCAGGCAUUUGCUAUGAAUACAUUAGCAUGGAAUAAUAAUUUAGGACUUUUGUUCUCUUUUGUUGGUUUCGCGAACGGAAGUAAUGAUUGAUAGGGAUAGUUGGGGGUGCUAGUAUUCAGUGGCCAGAGGUGAAAUUCUCGGAUUCACUGAAGACUAACUUAUGCGAAAGCAUU